UUCCGGUACGGAGGGGUUGAGGGAUUCCCGCCUGCAGUCGCUCCCUCAGUGUGGGCCGCUCCUCAGCGCCCGCCCCGUACGGGUGCUGUCCCACGUAUUACCCGCUUUGCGCAUGGACAGAUUCGUGGUUAAACGUUCUGCUGAGGAACCUGGGGGUGAUGGCAAGAGGCCCCGGUUAGAGGAGGCGGUGGGCGGCCUGCCCCAUCCCUCACAGCCCGGUCGGCAGAUCCGCGCCCAAGGCCUGAGCCUCGAGUACCGCCUCCUCUUCGGCCGGGCCGAGGCUGACGAGGUCUUCCAGCAGCUGGAAAAGGAGGUGGAGUACUUCGAAGGUGAACAGACAAAGUUGCGUGUGUUUGGCAAAUGGCAUAACAUCCCCAGGAAGCAGGUAACCUACGGAGACCCCGAGUUAACGUACACUUACUCAGGUGUCACCUUUUCUCCUAAGCCAUGGAUCCCAGUUCUCAACCACAUCAGAGAUCGCCUUGUUUUGGAAACGGGACACACUUUUAAUUUUGUUGUUAUUAACAGAUAUAAAGACGGUGAGGACCACAUAGGUGAACAUCGAGAUGAUGAGAAGGAGCUGAUUCCACGCAGCCCUAUUGCAUCAGUGUCCUUUGGAGCCUGCAGAGACUUCGUCUUCAGGCACUGUGAUUCCAGAGGGAAGAAUGCAACACGGCACAUUAAGCCCAUCAUACUGCAGCUAGCCCAUGGCAGCCUGCUGAUGAUAAAGUACCCCACUAAUGUGUACUGGUACCACAGCGUGCCCAUCCGCAAGAGAGUGCUUGCUCCAAGAAUCAACCUGACAUUUCGGAAAAUGAUGGUUGUUGACAAAAAAGCGAGAUAGCAAUGAAGCACCUGGACCAUAGACCCUGAAUACUGAAGUUUUCCUCCUCGAUAUAGCUGUCAGUUCCUCAAUCAAGCGGUGUUUGAUGAUCCAAGGCAUUAAAGUAGAAGAUAGCGUGCUUGGGAAUCCAUUCUGAAAGCCGUUCCCAUCCGUGCUCAAUCCUACUGAAAUGAGGAAAGAGUGUCCAAAGUGUCCACCAGGUCUUAAGGAAUCAAGCAAUGGUAAGUGCUGAGCAAAAAUGCGAGUUGAUCCCUGUGUAACCGUGCUUAGGAGCAUGUGAAUGAGUAGCCUGCAGUCUCUUGGGGCUGUGGAAUUAACAGCAGUUCAGAAAAGCUGGAAUUGGAAAUUCUUAUCCUCUGUAUUUCCUGUGAAGAGCAGGGCUCUGCUGGGAACCUGGAUCCCAGGAAUGCACCUAGAGAAGGAGAAGUGCUGCUUCUAUCAGAUAUACUGUGUAUAUAUCUGAUAGAUUGGCCUUGAAGAAAUCAGCAAAUAUGGACAGUUACUUUUUUUAUUAAGUUCUUUUAUUGCUACUGUACAGUUACAAAAAAUACCCUGAAGUGAAAAUGCAACUUCAAACAGCAGUGCGGUGCUGUGACUCUCACACUUUUUUAAAAUAAUACACAAAAUAAAACAAUUAUCCAAACACA
This is an RNA transcript of Lagopus leucura (white-tailed ptarmigan), 1491 nucleotides long. It is a transcript of the gene named alkB homolog 2, alpha-ketoglutarate dependent dioxygenase, with no coding region annotated. The record is from RefSeq and is a predicted model, not a curated record. Lineage: Eukaryota; Metazoa; Chordata; Aves; Galliformes; Phasianidae. The transcript has 4 exons.